RNAcentral lists this ribosomal RNA (695 nucleotides) under uncultured bacterium. RNAcentral's name for it is "bacterial SSU rRNA". It matches the Rfam family "Bacterial small subunit ribosomal RNA", at positions 224 to 915 of the family's 1533-position model. The record is from RNAcentral.
GAUGGACCUAUGGCGCAUUAGCUAGUUGGCGGGGCAACGGCCCACCAAGGCAACGAUGCGUAGCCGGCCUGAGAGGGCGGACGGCCACAUUGGGACUGAGACACGGCCCAGACUCCUACGGGAGGCAGCAGUAGGGAAUUUUCGGCAAUGGGGGAAACCCUGACCGAGCAACGCCGCGUGAGCGAAGAAGGCCUUCGGGUCGUAAAGCUCUGUUGUAAAGGAAGAACGUCGCAUGCAGGAAAUGGUGUGCGAGUGACGGUACUUUACCAGAAAGCCACGGCUAACUACGUGCCAGCAGCCGCGGUAAUACGUAGGUGGCGAGCGUUAUCCGGAAUCAUUGGGCGUAAAGAGGGAGCAGGCGGCCGCAAGGGUCUGUGGUGAAAGACCGAAGCUAAACUUCGGUAAGCCAUGGAAACCGGGCGGCUAGAGUGCGGAAGAGGAUCGUGGAAUUCCAUGUGUAGCGGUGAAAUGCGUAGAUAUAUGGAGGAACACCAGUGGCGAAGGCGACGGUCUGGGCCGCAACUGACGCUCAUUCCCGAAAGCGUGGGGAGCAAAUAGGAUUAGAUACCCUAGUAGUCCACGCCGUAAACGAUGGUCACUAAGUGUCGGGGGUCAAACCCCGGUGCUGCAGUCAACGCAAUAAGUGACCCGCCUGAGUAGUACGUUCGCAAGAAUGAAACUCAAAGGAAUUGACG